CCUUAACCUGCUAACUAGGGCUGGGAGCGAGAGCUUUUAGCGACUUCUUAGAGGGACUUGCUGCGGAUAGCAGUGGGAAGUUUGAGGCAAUAACAGGUCUGUGAUGCCCUUAGAUGUUCUGGGCUGCACGCGCGCUACACUGACACAGGCAGAGAGUAGGACCUUGACCGAGAGGUCUGGGGAAUCUUGGGAAACUGUGUCGUGCUGGGGAUAGAUCAUUGCAAUUAUUGGUCUUGAACGAGGAAUUCCUAGUAAGCGCAAGUCAUCAGCUUGCGUUGAUUACGUCCCUGCCCUUUGUACACACCGCCCGUCGCUACUACCGAUUGAAUGGCUUAGUGAGGCCUUUGGACGUGAAGUUUUGGGAGACUGAAACUUUAGGGAAAUUGGACAAACUUGGUCAUUUAGAGGAAGUAAAAGUCG
This 420-nucleotide ribosomal RNA is filed under the name Microsporidia sp. clade III. Its description in RNAcentral is "SSU rRNA". It matches the Rfam family "Eukaryotic small subunit ribosomal RNA", at positions 1341 to 1791 of the family's 1831-position model. The record is from RNAcentral. Lineage: Eukaryota; Fungi; Microsporidia.